Molecule: unclassified non-coding RNA, 79 nt
Filed under: Zunongwangia mangrovi
Lineage: Bacteria; Pseudomonadati; Bacteroidota; Flavobacteriia; Flavobacteriales; Flavobacteriaceae
Description: Flavo-1 RNA
Source: RNAcentral
UUUUCGCGUUAGGGAUUGGAGCGAAAAGCCCGUAGUUGCUGCAAGCAACGCGGACUUGCAGCAGAAAGCCCGACCCAAA